This 758-nucleotide ribosomal RNA is filed under the name uncultured Kingella sp. RNAcentral's name for it is "bacterial SSU rRNA". It matches the Rfam family "Bacterial small subunit ribosomal RNA", at positions 28 to 776 of the family's 1533-position model. The record is from RNAcentral. Lineage: Bacteria; Pseudomonadati; Pseudomonadota; Betaproteobacteria; Neisseriales; Neisseriaceae.
AUUGAACGCUGGCGGCAUGCUUUACACAUGCAAGUCGAACGGCAGCACGAAAGAGCUUGCUCUUUUGGUGGCGAGUGGCGAACGGGUGAGUAAUGCAUCGGAACGUACCGAGUAAUGGGGGAUAACUAUCCGAAAGGAUAGCUAAUACCGCAUACGCUUUGAGAAGGAAAGUGGGGGCUCUUCGGACCUCACGUUAUUCGAGCGGCCGAUGUCUGAUUAGCUAGUUGGUGGGGUAAAGGCCUACCAAGGCGACGAUCAGUAGCGGGUCUGAGAGGAUGAUCCGCCACACUGGGACUGAGACACGGCCCAGACUCCUACGGGAGGCAGCAGUGGGGAAUUUUGGACAAUGGGCGCAAGCCUGAUCCAGCCAUGCCGCGUGUCUGAAGAAGGCCUUCGGGUUGUAAAGGACUUUUGUUAGGGAAAAAAGGAUAGUGUUAAUACCAUUAUCUGCUGACGGUACCUAAAGAAUAAGCACCGGCUAACUACGUGCCAGCAGCCGCGGUAAUACGUAGGGUGCGAGCGUUAAUCGGAAUUACUGGGCGUAAAGCGAGCGCAGACGGUUUAUUAAGCAAGAUGUGAAAUCCCCGAGCUUAACUUGGGAACUGCGUUUUGAACUGGUAAGCUAGAGUAUGUCAGAGGGGGGUAGAAUUCCACGUGUAGCAGUGAAAUGCGUAGAGAUGUGGAGGAAUACCGAUGGCGAAGGCAGCCCCCUGGGAUAAUACUGACGUUCAUGCUCGAAAGCGUGGGUAGCAAACAGG